RNAcentral lists this long non-coding RNA (2342 nucleotides) under Octopus sinensis (East Asian common octopus). RNAcentral describes it as "uncharacterized LOC118763807". The record is from RNAcentral. Lineage: Eukaryota; Metazoa; Mollusca; Cephalopoda; Octopoda; Octopodidae.
AUAUAUAUAUAUUUUGUGCUUUAUAGUUAUGGUAGAAUCUGUUUAUUCAUUUAAAACUGAUAAAUGUUUCUCCAUGUACUAUUCUGGAUUUAACCGCCAUAAAGAUAGGAAACAAAGCGAAUCAUCAGCUUCAGUUGAAUAAAUAACUGUGAGUAUGUGUGUAUACACACACACACACCACACACACACACACACACACACACACACACACACGGGUUUGGUGAUACAUACAGGAAAAUAGAACUCAAAAUAUGAGCAGGUAUAUAUUUUCUAUUUAAUUAGCAGAGUGAUUCAAGGGUCACUUUUGUGUAUUGGCAUGUAUGUGUACACACGUGUGUGUGUGCAUAUAUAUAUAUAUAUAUAUAUAUAUAUACAUAUAUAUAUGUUAUUUUAUUCAUAAAUUAUAAACCUCUUUUCAAACAAUGUCUCUGAGUGUUCUUUACUGGUCUGUUGGUUUUGAAUAUUAUAAUAUUUAUUACAUUUUAGAAUUUAAGGACAGAUUAUCUUUCAACAAGAUAGAUUACUGUAUUUAAUAGUGUUUUGCUUCCGUUUUGAGUUCAAAUCCUGCUAUGUCCAACUUUGCUUUUAAUUCUUACAUUAAAUUAAUUACCGGUCGUUUUCUGGAUUCGGUAUAAUCAGUUAUGUGUUCCCAUAAAAAAGUUGUGGGUUAGUGGACAUGAUCAUGUGGUCAAGUAGUUUGCUUCGUAACCAGGUGUUUUGGGAUUAAUUACUCUGAGUGUCACUUUCGUCAAAUUUCUUCUGUAGCUUAGAGUUGACCAGUUGUUUGUAAGUGGUAUUUGGUUAACAGAAAGUACGUGUGUCUGUGUUUGUUUUUUUGUAUCCUAUGAGCCUCCAGUUCAACAAACAGAGAUCAAUAAAAUAAACAAGUGAAUGAAAUGAGUAAAUAUCGGGAUUGGUAUAAUCGACUGAAACUCAUGCAGGUGUUUGGUAUCCCAGCAUUGUUGUAAUCCAAUGAUCAAAAUCAGUAAAAGACUUGUAUCUAUUUAAGAAUUUAUUAUAUUUUUUUAAGGUAAAAAUAUCAUAAAUUUAUUGCAUAAUUUUAUUCAAGUGUAUACAUAUAUAAUUACAAUGAGUGUUUUUAUAUACAUAAAAACAACGAACAUAGACUAAAUAAAGGACUCAAUACAUGUACAGAGUCAAUCAUUUAUUAUAAUUUUAUUGACAGUGACUACAAAAUUGUCCUAAGUAUAUGACUGUCAAUAAAUUUGUAAUUAAGGUGUCUUUGUUUUGUGCCUUUGCAAUUUCAAAAUUGGGUAUGUGAGUAAGAGAAAGGGACAUUAGUGUAACCCCAAAUUUAGUUCAACACUGUUGGUGGUUGUUGUAUAGCCCUGAGUUAGCCCUAAUUGACCAGCAGACUUAUUAUCACAUACCAUCAAAGACAUUCUAGCUGGGAACGUCUUUCCUCUUCAGAUGACAUCCAAUAUGCUCUUCCUUCCAUUUUUUUGUUUUCAAGACAGUAUGGUGUUAUUUUAGAAGAGAUUUGGCUGUUAGUUCUAACAGGUCAAAGACCACAUGCAGGUUGUUUCGUUUUUAAAUUUAGCCCCUUUUAUAGGUUUUGAGCAGAACUGGUCUUUGAUCCUAUAUUAUAUUAGAAGGAUUGAUCACUUAUUAGUCAGUGCUUCAUUGUUUGACGAGAGACAUUUUUACUAACGAAGGGCAGUUGUAGAAUUUCAGGUCUGUCUUACUUGAGAGCAGAUUUUCACCUUCACUAUCACAAUCUUUUUUUUCUUCCUAUUUUUGCAGAUAUAAUUUAGGAUUACAUUAUUUAGUGUAUUUUUUUAAUUUUUAAAAAUAAGUAUAAUUUGAGAGUUACUUUAGCUGCUAUUUCGUGUAGGUUGAGUGGCCAUGUAGAGGUUCUUAUGGUGAUUUAAAGGGAUGAUAGAUGGUAGCAUAUGUAUAGAUAGUUCAGAGGAAGAUAUCUUAUGUUUGGGCAUCUGGCUUUUAGUGGCAAAAGUGAGAAAAAGACUGUUUCUUUUUCUGGAGAAGGUUAAGCACCCAAAAGGUUAAUUUCUCUUCUGCCUCGUGGCAUAAAACUUGUUCCACUGUUUGAAUUAUUUGUAUACCUAUCCUUGUUUAUCGCAGAGGUUUGGUCCUCCACCCCAACAAAAGCCCCCUGAUAAAUGAAUCCUCUCCCCUCACUUUGCAAAUGGAACUAAUGGUAGCUUUAUUGGCACCAAACUUGUGACCCACAGCAGUGAAGCUAUCAUUGUCCUCUAUUUUCUUGAUUAUCUCUACCGUUUCCUCUUGGGAAUAUACUCACCUGUGAUGUUUAUUAGGGUCAGGUACCUUCGUAUUUUUCUGUUCACUGGUUUAAUGUUAAG